RNAcentral lists this ribosomal RNA (509 nucleotides) under uncultured Glomeraceae. Its description in RNAcentral is "SSU rRNA". It matches the Rfam family "Eukaryotic small subunit ribosomal RNA", at positions 569 to 1082 of the family's 1831-position model. The record is from RNAcentral. Lineage: Eukaryota; Fungi; Glomeromycota; Glomeromycetes; Glomerales; Glomeraceae.
AGCAGCCGCGGUAAUUCCAGCUCCAAUAGCGUAUAUUAAAGUUGUUGCAGUUAAAAAGCUCGUAGUUGAAUUUCGGGGUUAGUAGGUUGGUCAUGCCUCUGGUAUGUACUGGUCUCACUGAUUCCUCCUUCCUGAUGAGCCGUAAUGCCAUUAAUUUGGUGUUGCGGGGAAUUUGGACUGUUACUUUGAAAAAAUUAGAGUGUUUAAAGCAAGCUAACGCUUGAAUACAUUAGCAUGGAAUAAUGAAAUAGGACGUUCGAUCCUAUUUUGUUGGUUUCUAGGAUUGACGUAAUGAUUAAUAGGGAUAGUUGGGGGCAUUAGUAUUCAAUUGUCAGAGGUGAAAUUCUUGGAUUUAUUGAAGACUAACUACUGCGAAAGCAUUUGCCAAGGAUGUUUUCAUUAAUCAAGAACGAAAGUUAGGGGAUCGAAGACGAUCAGAUACCGUCGUAGUCUUAACCAUAAACUAUGCCGACUAGGGAUCGGAUGAUGUUAAUUUUUUAAUGUACUCA